UACGUAGGGGGCAAGCGUUGUUCGGAUUCAUUGGGCGUAAAGGGCGCGUAGGCUGCGGGGCAAGUCGGGUGUGAAAUCUCAGAGCUCAACUCUGAAACUGCACUCGAUACUGCUUUGCUCGAGGACUGGAGAGGAGAUUGGAAUUCAUGGUGUAGCAGUGAAAUGCGUAGAGAUCAUGAGGAAGACCAGUGGCGAAGGCGGGUCUCUGGACAGUUCCUGACACUGAGACACGAAGGCCAGGGGAGCAAACGGG
RNAcentral lists this ribosomal RNA (253 nucleotides) under uncultured bacterium. RNAcentral's name for it is "partial 16S ribosomal RNA". It matches the Rfam family "Bacterial small subunit ribosomal RNA", at positions 524 to 776 of the family's 1533-position model. The record is from RNAcentral.